GACGACGCUGGCGGCGUGCCUAACACAUGCAAGUCGAGCGGACAGUGCGGAAGUGUAGCGAUAUACGGAAGCGCUGUGAGCGGCGGACGGGUGAGUAACGCGUGGGCAACCUGCCCCGCACCGGGGGAUAACACCGUGAAAACGGUGCUAAUACCGCAUAUCGCAGCGGGAGCGCAUGCUUCGGCUGUGAAAGGAGCAAUCCGGUGCAGGAGGGGCCCGCGUCCGAUUAGAUAGUUGGUGAGGUAACGGCCCACCAAGUCGACGAUCGGUAGCCGGACUGAGAGGUUGGCCGGCCACAUUGGGACUGAGACACGGCCCAGACUCCUACGGGAGGCAGCAGUGGGGAAUAUUGCGCAAUGGGGGAAACCCUGACGCAGCGACGCCGCGUGAAGGAGGAAGGCCUUCGGGUUGUAAACUUCUUUGACCGGGGACGAGAACGGACGGUACCCGGGGAACAAGCCACGGCUAACUACGUG
This 476-nucleotide ribosomal RNA is filed under the name uncultured bacterium. RNAcentral describes it as "bacterial SSU rRNA". It matches the Rfam family "Bacterial small subunit ribosomal RNA", at positions 33 to 507 of the family's 1533-position model. The record is from RNAcentral.